AGGACGUGGACCACCAGGAGCAUCAGACCGUUUUACCGUCGCCAUGAAGUUUGUUUGCGUCUUCAUCGCCCUAAUGGGAGUAUGUACCGCCAACUCAAUAGGAGCCAAUCGUCCGAAAAGGGAUGACUGUAACUAUGCCUUGGUACAAAGGUGCGCCGACAGCAUGGGUUCAGGCGGCAGUUACCCUGGCAACGGUUACCCCGGUUACCCAGGAGGGGGUUAUCCCGGAAGACCUGAUUACAACAACAGGAGGUGGAUGGAAUGCUGUUACAGGAUGUGUGGGUCUGACUGUCUUGACGACUGAGCGACACCUAGCGGCAACACACAUCUACAUAGGGUCUUCAACACAUGAGCGUCGUACAAGAGAAGGACUGUAUGCUAACUUAUAAACAUCUGAUGCCAUCACACUACAGUAACAGAAGGUUCUUCAAAAUGCUGGUAAACUUCCAAGGCAAUUUCAACAACCCCCGGGUUCUGAUGAAUCCAUUUCAGUUGUAAUACUAGGUUUUACAAUUUACGUUUGAUAACCUUGCCUCUUGAUGUGAACACAAUUGUGUUUGAUGAUUGUUUAAAAGUCACAAUUGUUUUUUUAAAAGGAAAUUCGAUGACGUAAAUCGAGCCUGCAACCUUAUAUAUCGUGUAUAGUUUUGUUACCCACUGAUUUCCAAGUGAGCUACCGGGGCAGGUGAUGAAAAGUUGUUCAGUUUAUCAUGUCAUGACUCCAGCUAGUCCAUGCUGCACGUAGUACGUCUCUCGCAUACUCUUUGAACGAAUUCCUUUUAUUCCGCGAUACGCUUAAUUGUUUCACUAUGAGGUAGUUUUGGUUGAAAAUGUAAAACCUUGAACUCGGGCUUUUCCCUCGCUCGCGGUUUUACAUUUUCAACCAAAACCUCGGAGUUGUGAUUUAUCCUAUACAUAUUACCUUCACUGGGCAAGAAAUACAGAUGGACGUACUGUUGAUGAUGUGUUACGUGUCAAAAUAAAUUCUUAUUUCAA
Haliotis rufescens (red abalone) is the source of this 996-nucleotide long non-coding RNA. RefSeq lists it as uncharacterized. The record is from RefSeq and is a predicted model, not a curated record. The transcript has 2 exons. Lineage: Eukaryota; Metazoa; Mollusca; Gastropoda; Lepetellida; Haliotidae.